GAUGUCUCAAUGAACCUGAAGCUCACUGAUUUAGCUAGACUGCCUGCUCAGAGAUAAAGGGUCCUGUAUGUCUCUACUCACCAGCACUCGCCACCACAACCCAAGCUCCAGGACUACAGCUGCAGACCUGUCCCGAGGGACUUCAAUUCCUCAUUUCUAUGUUAACAGUAUCAGGAGUCUGACAGUGACUCGACUCUGCUUGGCCCAGUUAGGGACAUUCUCAGUAUCUGUGCUUUUCCAAACAAAUGCCUGCUGUAUAAUUCAGAGCAGCCCCCAAAAGCUGAAAAUACCAGGACAAAAUACCAAGUGCUUGUCUCUGAUCAGCUAUUGAUUUUGUGCCAUCUGUCACCUGGGAUGCCUGAACUCGGUGAUGCGGCAUCUCUUAGCUUACAUUUUCCUAGGCAACCGCAGCUUCC
This is a long non-coding RNA of Mus musculus (house mouse), 416 nucleotides long. RefSeq annotates it as predicted gene, 40757. The transcript has 3 exons. The record is from RefSeq and is a predicted model, not a curated record. Lineage: Eukaryota; Metazoa; Chordata; Mammalia; Rodentia; Muridae.